This is a non-coding RNA of Pelobates cultripes (western spadefoot toad), 344 nucleotides long. Lineage: Eukaryota; Metazoa; Chordata; Amphibia; Anura; Pelobatidae. The record is from the annotation of a GenBank genome assembly.
GUUUACUUCAGGGAGAUCAUGCCAAAUUAAUCUUAUUGAUUUUUUUUGAUUGGGUAACUAAAAUUAUAGAUCAGGAUGGUGCAGUAGACAUUGCUUACCUAGAUUUCAGUAAGGCUUUUGACACUGUUGCACAUAGAAGGCUUAUCAAUAAACUGCAAUCUUUACGUUUGGAUUCCAAUAUUGUUGAAUGAGUAAGGCAGUGGCUGAGUUACAGACAACAGAGGGUUGUAGUUAAUGGAGUAUAUUCGAAGCUUGGAUUUGUCACCAGUGGGGUACCUCAGGGAUCUGUACUUGGACCCAUUCUCUUUAAUAUUUUUAUUAGUGAUAUUGCAGAAGGUCUUGAU